UGAACAUACCUAUUUGUUGCCUCGGCGGUGCCUGUUCCGACAGCCCGCCAGAGGACCCCAAACCCUGAUUACAUUUAAGAAGUCUUCUGAGUAAACCGAUUAAAUAAAUCAAAACUUUCAACAACGGAUCUCUUGGUUCUGGCAUCGAUGAAGAACGCAGCGAAAUGCGAUAAGUAAUGUGAAUUGCAGAAUUCAGUGAAUCAUCGAAUCUUUGAACGCACAUUGCGCCCGCUAGUAUUCUGGCGGGCAUGCCUGUCCGAGCGUCAUUUCAACCCUCAAGCCCCCGGGCUUGGUGUUGGGGAUCGGCGAGCCUCCGCGCCCGCCGUCCCCUAAAUCUAGUGGCGGUCUCGCUGUAGCUUCCUCUGCGUAGUAGCACACCUCGCACUGGGAAACAGCGCGGCCACGCCGUUAAACCCCCAACUUCUGAACGUUUGACCUCGGAUCAGGUAGGAAUACCCGCUGAACUUAAGCAUAUCAAU
Molecule: ribosomal RNA, 479 nt
Filed under: Ilyonectria sp.
Lineage: Eukaryota; Fungi; Ascomycota; Sordariomycetes; Hypocreales; Nectriaceae
Description: eukaryotic LSU rRNA
Rfam family: 5.8S ribosomal RNA (bases 113-266)
Source: RNAcentral